GGCGCUAUAGCCAAGUGGUUACGGCGACAGAUUCGAACUGUCGCUAUCUGUUCCUCUUUGAGGGCGCAGGUUCAAAUCCUGCUGGCGUCG
Molecule: transfer RNA, 90 nt
Filed under: Lentinula edodes (shiitake mushroom)
Lineage: Eukaryota; Fungi; Basidiomycota; Agaricomycetes; Agaricales; Omphalotaceae
Description: tRNA-Ser
Rfam family: tRNA
About the family: Transfer RNA (tRNA) molecules are approximately 80 nucleotides in length. Their secondary structure includes four short double-helical elements and three loops (D, anti-codon, and T loops).
Source: RNAcentral